Protopterus annectens (West African lungfish) is the source of this 163-nucleotide small nuclear RNA. RefSeq annotates it as U1 spliceosomal RNA. The record is from RefSeq and is a predicted model, not a curated record. The transcript has a single exon. Lineage: Eukaryota; Metazoa; Chordata; Ceratodontiformes; Protopteridae.
AUACUUACCUGGCAGGGGGAAUACUACGAUCACAAAGGUGGUUUCCCAGGGUGAGGCUCUGCCACUGCGCACUUUGGUUGGGUUGACCUCUGUGAUUUCCCCAAAUGUGGGAAACUCAACUGCAUAAUUUAUUUUUGGAUGGCACAGUGGUGCAGUGGUCGAG